GGAGAAUUGUAUCCAACCCAUGAGGCACGACAAAACAUUCCUGUCCAAGAAUUAUCCGUUUUCGAAAAGCUGGGAAAUCUGGAUUUAAGUUUAAACAGGGUCGGAGGCAGCCCACUGACAGCACAAAAUUCUAAAAUCUGUCUAAGCUUAAGAAGCUCAAGUACCUAAAUCUGAGCCAGAAUGCCAUGAAUAAAGAAAGUUUGAAGUUCUUGGGCCUACUUCCCUCCCUCCUCUACCUUGACCUAUCGCUCAACAACAUUGAAGGUCCCCUCAC
Molecule: long non-coding RNA, 274 nt
Organism: Hibiscus syriacus
Lineage: Eukaryota; Viridiplantae; Streptophyta; Magnoliopsida; Malvales; Malvaceae
Exons: 3
Source: RefSeq, a predicted model, not a curated record